Molecule: ribosomal RNA, 103 nt
Filed under: Anaxagorea javanica
Lineage: Eukaryota; Viridiplantae; Streptophyta; Magnoliopsida; Magnoliales; Annonaceae
Description: 4.5S ribosomal RNA
Source: RNAcentral
UAAGGUCACGGCGAGACGAGCCGUUUAUCAUUACGAUAGGUGUCAGGUGGAAGUGCAGUGAUGUAUGCAGCUGAGGCAUCCUAACAGACCGAGAGAUUUGAAC